RNAcentral lists this ribosomal RNA (557 nucleotides) under uncultured Methylobacterium sp. RNAcentral describes it as "bacterial SSU rRNA". It matches the Rfam family "Bacterial small subunit ribosomal RNA", at positions 102 to 694 of the family's 1533-position model. Lineage: Bacteria; Pseudomonadati; Pseudomonadota; Alphaproteobacteria; Hyphomicrobiales; Methylobacteriaceae. The record is from RNAcentral.
ACGGGUGAGUAACACGUGGGAACGUACCCUUUGGUUCGGAAUAACGCUGGGAAACUAGCGCUAAUACCGGAUACGCCCUUUUGGGGAAAGGCUUGCUGCCGAAGGAUCGGCCCGCGUCUGAUUAGCUAGUUGGUGGGGUAAUGGCCUACCAAGGCGACGAUCAGUAGCUGGUCUGAGAGGAUGAUCAGCCACACUGGGACUGAGACACGGCCCAGACUCCUACGGGAGGCAGCAGUGGGGAAUAUUGGACAAUGGGCGCAAGCCUGAUCCAGCCAUGCCGCGUGAGUGAUGAAGGCCUUAGGGUUGUAAAGCUCUUUUGUCCGGGACGAUAAUGACGGUACCGGAAGAAUAAGCCCCGGCUAACUUCGUGCCAGCAGCCGCGGUAAUACGAAGGGGGCUAGCGUUGCUCGGAAUCACUGGGCGUAAAGGGCGCGUAGGCGGCCAUUCAAGUCGGGGGUGAAAGCCUGUGGCUCAACCACAGAAUUGCCUUCGAUACUGUUUGGCUUGAGUUUGGUAGAGGUUGGUGGAACUGCGAGUGUAGAGGCGAAAUUCGUAGA